UAUUGCACAAUGGAGGAAACUCUGAUGCAGCGACGCCGCGUGAAGGAAGAAGGCUUUCGGGUUGUAAACUUCUUUUAUCAGGGACGAAACAAGUGACGGUACCUGAUGAAUAAGCCACGGCUAACUACGUGCCAGCAGCCGCGGUAAUACGUAGGUGGCGAGCGUUAUCCGGAUUUACUGGGUGUAAAGGGCGUGUAGGCGGGAAUGCAAGUCAGAUGUGAAAACUAUGGGCUCAACCCAUAGCCUGCAUUUGAAACUGUAUUUCUUGAGUGCUGGAGAGGCAAUCGGAAUUCCGUGUGUAGCGGUGAAAUGCGUAGAUAUACGGAGGAACACCAGUGGCGAAGGCGGAUUGCUGGACAGUAACUGACGCUGAGGCGCGAAAGCGUGGGGAGCAAACAGG
Molecule: ribosomal RNA, 400 nt
Filed under: uncultured bacterium
Lineage: Bacteria
Description: bacterial SSU rRNA
Rfam family: Bacterial small subunit ribosomal RNA
Source: RNAcentral